AUUGUUUGAAUCUAGCAAAAUUAACGGCCUCUUUUAAUUUCAUAUAUGCAAACCCUAGGUCCCCGUUUACCUCACAUAAAUCAAAACUUCUAAACGCCGCAAUAUAAAAAUCUAAACAAAUUGCAAAACAAAUAAUGGAAGAAAAAAGAAGGAGUGGUAAAAAUCGUGCCAGCAACCGCGGUUAGACGAUAACUCCUAGCCAUUACCAACGGAUUAGUGGAACAACGCCACGACAUAAAAAACUAAAUCAUGUAGGUCCAAUUUAAGAUAAUAUUUAACCUUUAUGUCUUUAUAAUCAUCCACGAAAGCUUAAACAAAAACAAGGAUUAGAGACCCUUCUAUAUUAAGCCAACAAAAAAUACCCGGGUAGUAAAAACAACUGUUCUAAACCUAAAAAUCUUGGCGGUAUCUAAACCAACCAGGGGAACCUGUUCUUUAAUACGACAACCCACGAGACACACAACCUUAUUUCGAAAACACAGCCUGUAUAUUGCCGUCUCAGUUUACUCUGAAAAGACGUAAACAAAAAGAUCCACCAUCUAUAUUCCAGGUCUUAAUGCAGCCAAUAAUAAGGGAGAAAUGGGUUACACCCUAAAUCAUAGUUACACCAAUAUGUGCUUUACCCCACAUUGAAGCCGGACUUGGAAGUAAUUAUAUUAAGUUAUAAUAUAAUGAAUACUGGCAAACUCAGAUAUGCACAAAUCGCCCGUCACUCUCGCCGAAAGGGGAGAUAAGUCGUAACAUAGUUGAUGUAAUGGAAAUUGCACCAAU
RNAcentral lists this non-coding RNA (771 nucleotides) under Marphysa sanguinea. The record is from RNAcentral. Lineage: Eukaryota; Metazoa; Annelida; Polychaeta; Eunicida; Eunicidae.